This 78-nucleotide transfer RNA is filed under the name Planctomycetota bacterium. Its description in RNAcentral is "tRNA-Val". It matches the Rfam family "tRNA". From Rfam's summary of the family: Transfer RNA (tRNA) molecules are approximately 80 nucleotides in length. The record is from RNAcentral. Lineage: Bacteria; Pseudomonadati; Planctomycetota.
GGUCCUGUAGCUCAGGGGUCAGAGCUCCGGGCUUACAUCCCGGGUAAGUCGUAGGUUCGAAUCCUACCAGGACCACCA